GAUGAACGCUAGCGGGAGGCCUAACACAUGCAAGCCGAGCGGUAUUGUUUCUUCGGCAAUGAGAGAGCGGCGUACGGGUGCGUAACACGUGUGCAACCUGCCUUUAUCUGGGGGAUAGCCUUUCGAAAGGAAGAUUAAUACUCCAUAAUAUAUUGAACGGCAUCGUUUAAUAUUGAAAGCUCCGGCGGAUAGAGAUGGGCACGCGCAAGAUUAGCUAGUUGGUGAGGUAACGGCUCACCAAGGCGAUGAUCUUUAGGGGGCCUGAGAGGGUGAUCCCCCACACUGGUACUGAGACACGGACCAGACUCCUACGGGAGGCAGCAGUGAGGAAUAUUGGUCAAUGGGUGCAAGCCUGAACCAGCCAUCCCGCGUGAAGGACGACUGCCCUAUGGGUUGUAAACUUCUUUUGGAUAGGGAUAAACCUACCCUCGAGAGGGUAGCUGAAGGUACUAGACGAAUAAGCACCGGCUAACUCCGUG
This 479-nucleotide ribosomal RNA is filed under the name uncultured bacterium. RNAcentral describes it as "partial 16S ribosomal RNA". It matches the Rfam family "Bacterial small subunit ribosomal RNA", at positions 28 to 507 of the family's 1533-position model. The record is from RNAcentral.